RNAcentral lists this transfer RNA (63 nucleotides) under Neochauliodes sinensis. RNAcentral's name for it is "tRNA-His". Lineage: Eukaryota; Metazoa; Arthropoda; Insecta; Megaloptera; Corydalidae. The record is from RNAcentral.
AUUUAAAUAGUUUAAUAAAAAUAUUGAUUUGUGGUGUCAAAGAUGUAGGGUAUACUUUAAAUU